UACGUAGGGGGGCUAGCGUUGUCCGGAAUCAUUGGGCGUAAAGCGCGUGUAGGCGGUCCGGUAAGUCCGCUGUGAAAGUCGGGGGGCUCAACCCUCGGAUGCCGGUGGAUACUGUCGGGCUUGAGUACGGAAGAGGCGAGUGGAAUUCCUGGUGUAGCGGUGAAAUGCGCAGAUAUCAGGAGGAACACCAAUUGCGAAGGCAGCUCGCUGGGACGUUACUGACGCUGAGACGCGAAAGCGUGGGGAGCAAACAGG
Molecule: ribosomal RNA, 255 nt
Filed under: uncultured bacterium
Lineage: Bacteria
Description: partial 16S ribosomal RNA
Rfam family: Bacterial small subunit ribosomal RNA
Source: RNAcentral